RNAcentral lists this ribosomal RNA (657 nucleotides) under uncultured bacterium. Its description in RNAcentral is "bacterial SSU rRNA". It matches the Rfam family "Bacterial small subunit ribosomal RNA", at positions 9 to 643 of the family's 1533-position model. The record is from RNAcentral.
GAGUUUGAUCCUGGCUCAGAUUGAACGCUGGCGGCGUGCUCUACACAUGCAAGUCGAACGAGAAAGGGACUUCGGUCCUGAGUAGAGUGGCGCACGGGUGAGUAACGCGUAGGUAAUCUACCUCUGCAUCUGGGAUAACACUUCGAAAGGGGUGCUAAUACCGGAUACACUUAUGGGUCGCAAGACCUAUAAGGAAAGGAGACGAUCCGCAAGGAGUUUCUGUGUAGAAAUGAGCCUGCGUCCCAUUAGCUAGUUGGCAGGGUAAGAGCCUACCAAGGCGACGAUGGGUAGCGGGUCUGAGAGGAUGAUCCGCCACACUGGAACUGAAACACGGACCAGACUCCUACGGGAGGCAGCAGUGAGGAAUAUUGGACAAUGGGCGCAAGCCUGAUCCAGCGACGCCGCGUGAGUGAUGAAGGCCUUUGGGUCGUAAAGCUCUGUCAGCAGGGAAGAACGGCCGUGUGGUUAAUACCCAUGCGGAUUGACGGUACCUGCAGAGGAAGCACCGGCUAACUCCGUGCCAGCAGCCGCGGUAAUACGGAGGGUGCGAGCGUUAAUCGGAAUUACUGGGCGUAAAGGGCGCGUAGGCGGCUGAUCAUGUCAGGUGUGAAAGCCCACGGCUUAACCGUGUGAAGUGCAUCUGAAACUGGUCGGCUU